Acipenser ruthenus (sterlet) is the source of this 468-nucleotide long non-coding RNA. RefSeq lists it as uncharacterized. The record is from RefSeq and is a predicted model, not a curated record. The transcript is spliced from 2 exons. Lineage: Eukaryota; Metazoa; Chordata; Actinopteri; Acipenseriformes; Acipenseridae.
GGUAAGCAGGAAAGACAAGAAGGCGGCCUAGAGAUUAAAAUAACAAGAAAAAUAUUAAGUAAUUCUUCAAGAUUAUAGGAAAUAGAGUACCAGAGAGAUCGGGGAUACUGAAACUGAGCCAAGUUCGAAUGGUUUUUUGUCUGAUAAAAAAGAAAAUAGAGAAUCCUGGCUGGUUUUUUGUUUUUGAGAUUUAAGAAGAUCCCAGAGGUUUGACUGCUACAACUUCGGCCAACUUCGACUGUCUUCAGUGUCAUUCCUGCUUUAUGAGCAAGGACAAACCUUGAAAACCAACACUGCUCCAACUUGGCGGGUGGUAGGAAAAGUUGAAUAAAGUGCACAAAGACUAUUUUUUUUUUUUUUUUUUAUACUUUAUUUUUAUUUUAUUGAGAUCUCAAUUCUACUGUUAUUGUGCAUUGUAUUUUUUUUUGAAACUGUAUUGAAAUACAAAGAAAAGUUUUGGCCAACUGA